UCACUUAUAGAUGGACCCGCGCCGUAUUAGCUAGUUGGUAAGGUAACGGCUUACCAAGGCGACGAUACGUAGCCGACCUGAGAGGGUGAUCGGCCACACUGGAACUGAGACACGGUCCAGACUCCUACGGGAGGCAGCAGUAGGGAAUCUUCCGCAAUGGGCGAAAGCCUGACGGAGCAACGCCGCGUGAGUGAUGAAGGGUUUCGGCUCGUAAAACUCUGUUAUUAGGGAAGAACAAAUGUGUAAGUAACUGUGCACGUCUUGACGGUACCUAAUCAGAAAGCCACGGCUAACUACGUGCCAGCAGCCGCGGUAAUACGUAGGUGGCAAGCGUUAUCCGGAAUUAUUGGGCGUAAAGCGCGCGUAGGCGGUUUCUUAAGUCUGAUGUGAAAGCCCACGGCUCAACCGUGGAGGGUCAUUGGAAACUGGGAAACUUGAGUGCAGAAGAGGAAAGUGGAAUUCCAUGUGUAGCGGUGAAAUGCGCAGAGAUAUGGAGGAACACCAGUGGCGAAGGCGACUUUCUGGUCUGUAACUGACGCUGAUGUGCGAAAGCGUGGGGAUCAAACAGGAUUAGAUACCCUGGUAGUCCACGCCGUAAACGAUGAGUGCUAAGUGUUAGG
RNAcentral lists this ribosomal RNA (620 nucleotides) under Staphylococcus sp. RNAcentral describes it as "bacterial SSU rRNA". It matches the Rfam family "Bacterial small subunit ribosomal RNA", at positions 215 to 827 of the family's 1533-position model. The record is from RNAcentral. Lineage: Bacteria; Bacillati; Bacillota; Bacilli; Caryophanales; Staphylococcaceae.